GAUGAACGCUGGCGGCGUGCCUAAUACAUGCAAGUCGAGCGAACGGACGAGAAGCUUGCUUCUCUGAUGUUAGCGGCGGACGGGUGAGUAACACGUGGAUAACCUACCUAUAAGACUGGGAUAACUUCGGGAAACCGGAGCUAAUACCGGAUAAUAUUUUGAACCGCAUGGUUCAAAAGUGAAAGACGGUCUUGCUGUCACUUAUAGAUGGAUCCGCGCUGCAUUAGCGAGUUGGUAAGGUAACGGCUUACCAAGGCAACGAUGCAUAGCCGACCUGAGAGGGUGCUCGGCCACACUGGAACUGAGACACGGUCCAGACUCCUACGGGAGGCAGCAGUAGGGAAUCUUCCGCACUGGGCGAAAGCCUGACGGAGCCACGCCGCGUGAGUGAUGACGGUCUUCGGAUCGUAAAACUCUGUUAUUAGGGAAGAACAUAUGUGUAAGUACCUGUGCACAUCUUGACGGUACCUAAUCAGAAAGCCCCGGCUAACUACGUG
This 497-nucleotide ribosomal RNA is filed under the name uncultured bacterium. Its description in RNAcentral is "partial 16S ribosomal RNA". It matches the Rfam family "Bacterial small subunit ribosomal RNA", at positions 28 to 507 of the family's 1533-position model. The record is from RNAcentral.